AUUGAACGCUGGCGGCAGGCCUAACACAUGCAAGUCGAACGGUAACAGGGAUCAGCUUGCUGAUUCGCUGACGAGUGGCGGACGGGUGAGUAAUGUCUGGGAAACUGCCUGAUGGAGGGGGAUAACUACUGGAAACGGUAGCUAAUACCGCAUAACGUCGCAAGACCAAAGAGGGGGACCUUCGGGCCUCUUGCCAUCGGAUGUGCCCAGAUGGGAUUAGCUAGUAGGUGGGGUAACGGCUCACCUAGGCGACGAUCCCUAGCUGGUCUGAGAGGAUGACCAGCCACACUGGAACUGAGACACGGUCCAGACUCCUACGGGAGGCAGCAGUGGGGAAUAUUGCUCAAUGGGCGCAAGCCUGAUGCAGCCAUGCCGCGUGUAUGAAGAAGGCCUUCGGGUUGUAAAGUACUUUCAGCGGGGAGGAAGGGAGUAAAGUUAAUACCUUUGCUCAUUGACGUUACCCGAAGAAGAAGCACCGGCUAACUCCGUG
This 490-nucleotide ribosomal RNA is filed under the name uncultured bacterium. RNAcentral describes it as "partial 16S ribosomal RNA". It matches the Rfam family "Bacterial small subunit ribosomal RNA", at positions 30 to 507 of the family's 1533-position model. The record is from RNAcentral.